AUACGGAGGGUGCAAGCGUUACUCGGAAUCACUGGGCGUAAAGCGCGCGCAGGCGGCUUGAUAAGUUGGAUGUGAAAGCCUACGGCUCAACCGUAGAACUGCAUCCAAAACUGUCAGGCUAGAGUGUGGGAGAGGAAGAUGGAAUAAGUUGUGUAGGGGUAAAAUCCGUAGAGAUAACUAGGAAUACCAAAAGCGAAGGCAAUCUUCUGGAACACUACUGACGCUGAGGCGCGAAGGCGUGGGGAGCAAACAGGAUUAGAAACCCUAGUAGUCC
This 274-nucleotide ribosomal RNA is filed under the name uncultured bacterium. RNAcentral describes it as "partial 16S ribosomal RNA". It matches the Rfam family "Bacterial small subunit ribosomal RNA", at positions 523 to 796 of the family's 1533-position model. The record is from RNAcentral.